This 72-nucleotide transfer RNA is filed under the name Candidatus Pacearchaeota archaeon. Its description in RNAcentral is "tRNA-Val". It matches the Rfam family "tRNA". From Rfam's summary of the family: Transfer RNA (tRNA) molecules are approximately 80 nucleotides in length. Their secondary structure includes four short double-helical elements and three loops (D, anti-codon, and T loops). Further hydrogen bonds mediate the characteristic L-shaped molecular structure. tRNAs have two regions of fundamental functional importance: the anti-codon, which is responsible for specific mRNA codon recognition, and the 3' end, to which the tRNAs corresponding amino acid is attached (by aminoacyl-tRNA synthetases). tRNAs cope with the degeneracy of the genetic code in two manners: having more than one tRNA (with a specific anti-codon) for a particular amino acid; and 'wobble' base-pairing, i.e. permitting non-standard base-pairing at the 3rd anti-codon position. The record is from RNAcentral. Lineage: Archaea; Nanobdellati.
GGCCUUGUAGUCUAGUGGUUAAGACGUGUCCUUGACGUGGAUAAGUCCGCAGUUCGAUUCUGCGCAGGGCCA